Molecule: long non-coding RNA, 8234 nt
Filed under: Trifolium pratense (red clover)
Lineage: Eukaryota; Viridiplantae; Streptophyta; Magnoliopsida; Fabales; Fabaceae
Description: long non-coding RNA (TPRA_LNC009981)
Rfam family: MIR1120/MIR1122 microRNA precursor family (bases 3711-3847)
Source: RNAcentral
CUUUUUAACAGCAAGCACUGCAUUUAAUGCACAAUUAGGGUUUCUUACCCAUUAUAUAUAUUGAUCCUUUUAUUCAGAGUAGUUAACACUGAAUGUUUGUCGCUCAAGAUACAUCAUUAAAGUAUUAAACCAUUAAACCAAAUUAGGCAAAAUUCAAGAUUUCAAGAAUCGCAACUUAGUCUUCACAUUAUUCUUCAAUAGUAAGCUAUCCAAUACCCAUUCCGUUCACGCUCCCAUUACACAAGACAACAUGAAAGAAACCAAAUUAAGCAAGAAUCAAAGUUUCAAGAAUCUCAACUUGAAACAUAGAAGUUCUCUAGUUUUCAAGAUAAAAACCAAAGUCAGUGUCUUCACUCCUGAUGAACAUGAUGCAGCUGAUGGUCUAGUUUUGUUGCAAAACCUAUUACAAAAGAAGGAGGUUAUUAGAAAAUUCAAAAUAACUUUUCGUGGCAAAAAGAUUUGUGAAAGAAUCUACAACAACAAUAGGUCGAUCGUUUCUUGCCAUUGUUAAAAGAAGGUGAAGAUGUUGAAGAAGGAAUAUAUGUCACCGCAUAUGACAUGCACGGCAAAGUGUUCAACAUGAAUUUCAAAUUAAAGAGUAUAUAGACUUAAAGUAUAGGAAUUUGAUGAAUCAUUGUAGUAAGAUUUUCAUAAAUUAUUAAUUACUGAGUUAGUUUUAAGACUUCUUUAUUUUUUGUUGCAUUCUUGAAGUGUUCAUAACACUACAUACAACUUUGUUUUGUAAUUAUGUCGAUGCAACCGAUCAAUAUAUGAAUUGAGACUCACAGUAUUUUCUUUUAUCUUGAUAUUUUUAGGUCUUUUAUUAUUUUGCUUAUUACUUAUUUUUGUUCUUCAAUAAGCGCUUAUAACUUGUCAUUAAUUAACACGCUUCUUUGGUAUUAGUGGAUAAACAAAUUAAUAACUAGGAAUGGUAUACUGAUAAUUUCUUAUCUGUCCUGAAUCAACUUAUAUUACAUCUAAUCCAAAGUAUUCUAUUUGUUUUCUCUACCCAAACUUAAGCAAUUGGUUAAACUAACAGCCACAUUUUUCAUUCCUAAUUAAUUUUAGUCCAUUAGGGACAUUACGGUGUCCCAAAAGUGUCCGAAAACACAUAAUAGGGUAAAACAGGGCUGUCAAAGGCACUUUAGCGCACUGGCUGCGCUUUAAGCGCGCGGUUGCAGGGGACACACACUGUUGUCUGCACUCUAGGCGCAGGAACUGCUGCUGUGUUUUCCUGCACAGUUUUCUGAUAUGUUAGCUAAUUAAUCCGGUCCAANNNNNNNNNNNNNNNNNNNNNNNNNNNNNNNNNNNNNNNNNNNNNNNNNNNNNNNNNNNNNNNNNNNNNNNNNNNNNNNNNNNNNNNNNNNNNNNNNNNNNNNNNNNNNNNNNNNNNNNNNNNNNNNNNNNNNNNNNNNNNNNNNNNNNNNNNNNNNNNNNNNNNNNNNNNNNNNNNNNNNNNNNNNNNNNNNNNNNNNNNNNNNNNNNNNNNNNNNNNNNUCUAUAUGAAGCAGCAAAACCACAUAGAACUACACACCAAAACCGUGUAUCAAAGUAGUAAAUAAUCCAAUAUUAUUUAUCAAAACUGCGAAUAAUCCAAUAUUAUUUUAAAAAGAAUAAACUAUCUAUACGAAGCAGGGUGGUAUUACCAAUAUGAAGCAGCAAAACCACAUAGAACUACAGGGUGGUAUUACCUAUUAGAAGUGAACUGAAAAGAAUAAACAAAGAACAACAUCAAAGAACUUAAACGCUCUAGUCUCUACCACAUUUUCAUGAAGCGAAAGUUAUAUGCACAUAACAACUAUAGAAGUGGUACGAAUCUUAGAAUGAGAAGAGAACCCCAAAAUAUCCAAACUUGUGAAAUAUGAGUAAGAAACAAAUAACUAGUUUGUACAUGGAAUAAAGAGAGUCCUGUCAAAGUCAUUUACACCUGAAUAUGUACCAACAACAAAAGUAGUGUGAAAAAGUUCAGCAAAAUCUCUUCUAACUUGUGGAUAAUCAAACUUCAAAAAACCUAUAACUACAAUAGCCACCACCAUCAAGGGACUUGGACAGGAAGCACCCUAACUGUUAAUGAUCAUGCCAAGCACAAAACAGGUUUACCGAAACCGCAAAAAAAUGCAUUCAACUAAUAAUAAAUGAAAAGACUAAAGCAAUUUUUGAUCUAUUUACCGAAACACACACAAACACAUCAUAAUUCAGCUACUUAGUUCAACUAGUUAAGAUUAUUGUGUCUAUACUAUGGACAGAUAUAUCAUCAUUGAAACAAAUUUCACAACCAAAAAUCACAUCAUAAUUCAACAAAAAUUCAAAAAUGUCAACAAAAAUUAUUUAGGCUAUAUUUCAAUUCAAUAUAGUUCAACUUGCACUCUUAACCCUAAUUUCUUAAUUAAUCUUCACUCUUAACAGAUUUUUUAGUAAUAUCAGAAAUCACAUUUGCAAAAAACACUUAAUCAAACACAACAAUGACCUAAAAUCACCAACAUGCAACAUGCAAACACAAAUCGCACUUCGAUAUAAGCUCAGAGAAGAGAGAGAGAGAGAGAGAGAGAUAUUUCAUUUACAGUGUGGACUCUUCAGUGUGUAAGAAACGAAAAUUGUGCUCAGAAGAAGAAGAAACGAAAUCUUCAAGUCCGAUUUAGCUCCGAUGAAGAUGAAACAAAUAUUCAAUCCGAUUUAGCUCCGAUGAAGAAGAAGAAGAAACGAAAUCAUCAAGUAUGAUUUAGCUCCGAAUAAGUGAUCUUGCUCCGAAUAAGUGAUUUUGCUGAGAGUUUGCAUUUAAGCGAUUUUGAGUUGAUUUUGUUGGGAAUGUAAAGCGAGUUGAAACAUUGUUGGGAAAGGGAUUUUGGUGGGAAUGCGACUUUGUGAGCGGGAAAGUAAUUUCCAGAAAAGCGCUUUUGUGUGUCAUUUUCACAAAGCAAAUUUCACUGUCACCAGUUACUACAAAAACACAAUAAUCUUUAAUUGCUUUUGUCUGCGCUUUUUUAUUUCCAGAAUUAUAGUUGAUUGACAUUAUCAAAACAAUGUUCAAAAAAUAAAAAUUCUUUAUAAAAAAUUAAUAAAAAGUCAAACAUGAAAUUACAAGGAAAUAAAGUAAAUAAAAAAAGUUCAUGUUAACUUGUGCUCUAGUGAAAUGUUAAGCUACCUAAAAAUAGAAAUAUAACAUUUAAUGAUAUAACAAAUUUAAUGUUUAAGGAAUUGAAUUACAAGUUCAAUAAAUUUUUUCCACAUUUAUCUUGUUAUCAUGUGCCCUAACAUGUGCCCUUAACACACACGUUAACAUUCUUUAAUAAAAAAUAUUAUAUUAAAGUCUUCAAUUUUGUCAAAAAGAAUAAAAAAUAAAACGUCUUAUUAAACACAUUAAGUGACCCUUGCUACUACGAAGUAUAUAAAUAAACUUCACUCUCACCACAAAACACAAACAUAAAUCAUUGAUUCUGCUUCUUACUCUUCUGUGCAAAACUUUAGAUUUUUUAAAAUAGGGGAUCAAAAGUGUAUUAAAGCCAUUAAUUUUUAACUUAUAUCGAAUAAGUUAACUGAUUAAAUUUGUAUUGUUUGGUAAAAUUAACGAUUGAAUUAGUAUUUAAUUAAUAUUUAAUUUUUUUCAUGUAAGAUGAUAUGGAUAAAAUUGGAAAAAAAAAUAAGUUAUAAGCUCAUAGGCUCUGUUUGGAAAGCACAAAUAAGUUAGCUUAUAGCUUAUUUUACUAGCUUAAAGCUUACUCUCUCCAUCCCAAAAUAUAAGCAAAAAAUGAUCAACAAAAGUGAAUGUAUUUGAUCCAAAUCUUUAACCAAAUACAUCAAAUUUCUUUGACUCAUUUUUGCUUAUAUUUUGGGACGGAGAGAGUAUUUUUCAGACGAUAUUUCAAUUAGCUUAUGAGCUUAUAGCUUAUAUUUUUUCUUUCAUUUUUACCCUUGUUAUUUUAUGUAAAUUUUAUGUAAAAUUCAACUUUACCUUUUAUAAUUUAUUAUGACUUAAAAAAUUUUGUAUAUUUUAGUGAAUAUAAACCAUACUACUCCCUCCGUUUCAAAUUACUUAUUGUUUUAGAAAAAAAAAAUUAUUUCAAAUUACUUGUCAUUUUGAUAAUUUAAGGUUAUAUUUUAUCUAUCAUAUCCUCAUGUAAAUUCCAAAUAUUUAGGAGUAGUUACUAAAAAAAUAAAAAGUACUUGUCUUAUGUUAUGGUGAGUUUGUUAAUAAAAAAUUUUUGCUGCUAAAAAAAAAAAAACUUUUGUUAGGCUAAAUUGCAGUUUUGUCCCAACGUUUCCUAAUUGUGCGAUUUUGGUCCCUUAAUUUCAAACGAGCGGUUUCACUCGAGACAAUUCACUAUAUAAAUACACACUUAACUCUCACCACAAAACAUAACACGUAAAUAUUUGAUUUUGCUUCUUGCUUCUUCUCCCUUAAAAUCUAAUAUCACAAACACACUUUCACUCAACGCUCUUUUCUUUAUUAGCACCAUUAAACGAUCUUUUUCUGUCCAAUAAUUUAAUUUCUUCUCUCAUUAUUUCAUUCUAAAAAACUAUUGCAGAUCCAAUUCUUUUGUUAUUACAAUCAUGACUCAACACUCUUUUCUUUAUCAUCACCAUUAAACGAUAUUUUCUUUACAUCCGCUUUAUCCUGAUAAGUGGAAAUGGUUGCCAGAUACAUCUGCUUUAGAUAAGUGAAAAUAGUCAGAUAACUGUUUUAGAUCCUAAUGUGUUGACUGCUAUCAAACAUCUUUGGAGGAAUGAUGCCCCGUCCAAAGUUUUGGUUUUAGGUUGGUGGUUAUUUCUAAAAAGGUUACCUACGAGGUCGACGCUCAAUCGCAGAGGUAUUUUGCUUAACCUGCGUGACUUACCUUGCAUCUUUUGUUUUUUAUCUCAUGAAGAUUGUGCGCACUUAUUCUUUCAUUGUCCUUUUAGUAUAAGAAUGUGGGAAUUGGUGUGUAGUUGGAUAGGAAAGAGUAUUCCGCACGGGCUGAUGGAUGGAAUCAUUUUAAGUUGUUUGACGAGAUGAUUAAUUUGAAAGAAAAAAAAAGAAUGAAUUAAUCAUUUUGUUAUGGUUGGCAACAACGUGAAAUAUUUAGAAACUUUGAAAUAAUGUGAUUUUUUAUGGAGCCAUUCCGAAUGCUUCUUCAUUUUUGGAUGACAUCAAAGCUAUUACUUGGACGUGGGUGAAUGGUCGGUAUGGGCAUAAGUCUUGUAUCUCCUUUUCUAUUUGGUGCUUAGAUCCAUUGACUUGUAUCCAAAACAUAUGAUUACUUGUUUUGCUUUGUAAGGGAUUGAGUAUCCCUUGUACUCCCUUUUAUUAAUGUUAAUCUUUGCUUAUAAAAAAAAUAUUGGCAGUUAAAUAUAAGAUUUCAUCAUUAUGCAUUCACGGUGCUUUAUUUCGGUUAAUAUUUGAAGCCAGAGAAAAUUUGAAAAUAAGAAGUGAUAUAGUAAAAGACACUAAACAGAAAAUCAAGUUAAAAAAAAAGUUGAAUAAUAUUUUUACAUUGGAAGCUGAAUAACUAUUAUCAAGAGAGAUUAUUAUAUGAAAGCAAAAACCAAUAAUAAAUCCAAAAUUAAUACUAAAUGCCUUGAAUUAUAUUAAACGUUACAAGUUACAACUUCUCAAAAAUCCCCUAACAACUUACUAAACUUGGCAACAUAUAUAAUAUAACAACUAUAGUUGCAAUUCUCAUUAUUUUCUUGUGAAUAGAGCCUUUCUUUAAAGAGCCAUUUCGGUAGGUAUUAAAUUGAGUCAUUAGAGGAAAUGAAUAGCAGACCGCGAAAAGCAAUACAACAUCAACCCCUAACAAGGCAUAGUUUCAGCAUUAGUCCCACACGAGCGAAGAGUAUCCGAGUAUGCGAUAAAACGGGUGUUAGAUCCACAAUUGUGUUGGCAUAUUUCUUCAACCUUCGUAGAUUUCUCAUUGUCUAAACCACAACUAUAAACAUUUUUCUCCGUUGCAAACACUAAGAGAUCACCGUUCAUAAUGGUAAACCCGGUAACAAUAGGAUUUUCCUCCUUCAAUUCCAAUGCUUCCAAUCUCACUUCCAAAAGCUUUUCCCAUGAACUUGACUUAUAAUCUUUUAAAAUCCAAAUUGUAAAACCNNNNNNNNNNNNNNNNNNUGUGCCAUUUUCCAGAUUAUAAGACAUUAUAUAUGGAUCAUAAAAAGCACUUGAUUUCGUAAAGUAAAAAGCACUAUCCGAGAUAACAUGAAUGGCUUUGUUAUGAAACACAGCCAUGUCAAAUUUCAUGUCUCUUCCACCGGAGGGAAAAACUAUUUGCCAUUGUUUUCCAUGAGCCUUCUUUUCCAUGAUAAACAUUGCAUAUGUAAGUUGGUGACCAUUCCUUGAAAUUUGUCUCUUUAAACAAAAACACCGAGUAAUCAUCUAGGUUGCUACGGGAGCAGUCUAACAUGAUAUUAAUAUUUGCAAAAUUAUCGUUUAUUUGAAGUGACUCUGGGAUAGGAAUCGAAGACCAAGACUUUGUGUGAUUGUGUUACAAAUGAACAAGUCAAGUGAGUCAUAAUUAAUGGUGCGGCAAAGAACCAAACCAUUACAAGAAGCUAAGACAGAAACUGAAUUUGAUAGGAAUGUAAGAACAUUAUUAGGAACACCAGAAGACUGUUUCUCUUUAGGUAAAGAAUGUAACUCGACUCUUUUUUCGAACUUUUGCCUUAUUUUCUCGGGUUGAAUGAAGAAACAUGUGUCAUCCUUCCGCAACAAAUUACGAGUUUGCUUUGUUUUAAAAGUGGUUUCUUGUGAAAAUUUAAAGAAUGACUCGCAAGUUGAAUUGAACUUACAAAUACUUUUUGCCGGUAGCCAUGAGAAUAUCUCAAAAGCAAUGUCAUGAGGUACUUCCAUGUUGUUGAGAAAGAAAAAGAAAACAAAGUGAGAACACUAAAAACAGCAAGCGUGGUUAGAAAGUGUGAAGUGAGGGAAACUAUAUUUGGUACACUCAUAUAUAGUUGAAAUAUGAACCCUAAAAUAAAUCUCAAACAAUAUCUACUAAAAUAUCUUUUAAAAAGAUAAGAUUUAUUAGUUAAAAAGAUAUGUGAUUAAUGAAAAUAAAGGGAUUUUCAAAAAAAAAAAAAAAGGCAUCUGCAUUUAUUACGGUAACAAACUUUUUAUUGUUUUACUGGAAUGGUAACAAAAUAAAUUUAUCACAAGCUUAUUAUUUUGGUAUUCUGGAAUGGUAAGUAAAUAGAUUUUGUUAUCUUUUUAACAGCUAGCACUGCAUUUAAUGCACAAUUAGGGUUUCUUACCCAUUAUAUAUAUUGAUCCUUUUAUUCAGAGUAGUUAACACUGAAUGUUUGUGGCUCAAGAUACAUCAUUAAAAUAUUAAACCAUUAAACCAAAUUAGGCAAAAUUCAAGAUUUCAAGAAUCGCAACUCAGUCUUCACAUUAUUCUUCAAUAGUAAGCUAUCCUAUUCCAAAAGAAGGAGGUUAUUAGAAAAUUCAAAAUAACUUUUCGUGGCAAAAAGAUUUGUGAAAGAAUCUACAACAACAAUAGGUCGAUCGUUUCUUGCCAUUGUUAAAAGAAGGUGAAGAUGUUGAAGAAGGAAUAUAUGUCACUGCAUAUGACAUGCAAGGCAAAGUGUUCAACAUGAAUUCCAAAUUAAAGAGUAUAGAAUUAAAGUAUAGGAAUUUGAUGAAUCAUUGUAGUAAGAUUUUCACAAAUUAUUAAUUACUGGGUUAGUUUUAAGAUUUCUUUAUUUUUUGUUGCAUUCUUGUAGUGUUCAUAACACUACAUACAGCAUUGUUUUGUAAUUAUGUCGAUGCAACUGAUCACGAUAUAUAUGAAUUGAGACUCACAGUAUUUUCUUUUAUCUUGAUAUUUUUAGGUCUUUUAUUAUUUUGCUUAUUACUUAUUUUUGUUCUUCAAUAUGCGCUUAUAAUUUGUCAUUAAUUAACACGCUUCUUUAGUAUUAGUGGAUACACAAAUUAAUAACUAGGAAUGGUAUCCAAAGUAUUCUAUUUGUUUUCUCUACCCAAACUUAUGCAAUUGGUUAAACUAACAGCUACAUUUUUCAUUCCUAAUUAAUCUUAGUCCAUUAGGGACAUUACGGCGUCCCAAAAGCGUCAGAAAACACAUAACAGGGUAAAACAGGGCUGUCAAAGGCACUUUAAACGAACUGGCUGAGCUUUAAGCGCAGGAGCAGGGGACACAAACUGGUGUCUGCGCUCUAGGCGCAGGAACUGCUGCUGUGUUUUCCUGCACAGUUUUCUGCUAUGUUAUCUAAUUAAUCUGGUCCAACUUCAACACUAAUCA